Molecule: microRNA precursor, 101 nt
Filed under: Pelobates cultripes (western spadefoot toad)
Lineage: Eukaryota; Metazoa; Chordata; Amphibia; Anura; Pelobatidae
Source: RNAcentral
ACCCCUCCUCCCAGACCCUCCCACCUCCUGGACAGCUCACUAAGAAUGCAGCUUCACAAUGGAUGCUGUCCAGGAGGUGGGAGGGUCUGGGAGGGAGGGUC